RNAcentral lists this ribosomal RNA (386 nucleotides) under uncultured bacterium. Its description in RNAcentral is "bacterial SSU rRNA". It matches the Rfam family "Bacterial small subunit ribosomal RNA", at positions 29 to 417 of the family's 1533-position model. The record is from RNAcentral.
AUUGAACGCUGGCGGCAUGCCUUACACAUGCAAGUCGAACGGCAGCACGGGAGCAAUCCUGGUGGCGAGUGGCGAACGGGUGAGUAAUACAUCGGAACGUGCCCAGUAGUGGGGGAUAACCCGGCGAAAGCCGGACUAAUACCGCAUACGACCUACGGGUGAAAGCAGGGGAUCGCAAGACCUUGCGCUAUUGGAGCGGCCGAUGUCAGAUUAGCUUGUUGGNGGGUAAAAGCCUACCAAGGCAACGAUCUGUAGCUGGUCUGAGAGGACGACCAGCCACACUGGGACUGAGACACGGCCCAGACUCCUACGGGAGGCAGCAGUGGGGAAUUUUGGACAAUGGGCGCAAGCCUGAUCCAGCCAUGCCGCGUGCGGGAAGAAGGCCU